GACGAACGCUGGCGGCGUGCUUAACACAUGCAAGUCGAACGGAAAGGCCCUGCUUUUGUGGGGUGCUCGAGUGGCGAACGGGUGAGUAACACGUGAGUAACCUGCCCUUGACUUUGGGAUAACUUCAGGAAACUGGGGCUAAUACCGGAUAGGAGCUCCUGCUGCAUGGUGGGGGUUGGAAAGUUUCGGCGGUUGGGGAUGGACUCGCGGCUUAUCAGCUUGUUGGUGGGGUAGUGGCUUACCAAGGCUUUGACGGGUAGCCGGCCUGAGAGGGUGACCGGCCACAUUGGGACUGAGAUGCGGCCCAGACUCCUACGGGAGGCAGCAGUGGGGAAUAUUGCACAAUGGGCGGAAGCCUGAUGCAGCAACGCCGCGUGCGGGAUGACGGCCUUCGGGUUGUAAACCGCUUUCGCCUGUGACGAAGCGUGAGUGACGGUAAUGGGUAAAGAAGCACCGGCUAACUACGCG
Molecule: ribosomal RNA, 468 nt
Filed under: uncultured bacterium
Lineage: Bacteria
Description: partial 16S ribosomal RNA
Rfam family: Bacterial small subunit ribosomal RNA
Source: RNAcentral